Molecule: transfer RNA, 73 nt
Filed under: Gymnocephalus cernua (ruffe)
Lineage: Eukaryota; Metazoa; Chordata; Actinopteri; Perciformes; Percidae
Description: tRNA-Asn
Source: RNAcentral
UAGAUAGAUGCUCGCUGGUUUGGGCGCUUAGCUGUUAACUAAGAAUUUGUAGGAUCGAGGCCUACCUAUCUAG